This 119-nucleotide ribosomal RNA is filed under the name Pteropus alecto (black flying fox). The record is from RNAcentral. Lineage: Eukaryota; Metazoa; Chordata; Mammalia; Chiroptera; Pteropodidae.
GUCUACAGUCAUGCCACCCUAAAUAUGCCCAAUCUCGUCUGAUCUCGGAAGCUAAGCAGAGUCAGGCCUGGUUAGUACUUGGAUGGGAAACCACCUAGGAAUACCAAAUGCUGUAAAUG